RNAcentral lists this unclassified non-coding RNA (3301 nucleotides) under Leishmania donovani. RNAcentral's name for it is "gene:LdHU3.28.3520(CDS-product:2-oxoglutarate_deh ydrogenase_E2_component_dihydrolipoamide_succinyltransferas e_putative)". The record is from RNAcentral. Lineage: Eukaryota; Euglenozoa; Kinetoplastea; Trypanosomatida; Trypanosomatidae.
AAAAGCGCGCACACACAGACGCACGCGCACACCUCACUCUCUUUCACACACACACACACACACCCCUGACACUCUCCUCCUCAUCAGUCAUCUCUCUCGCUCUCUCCCUUUUAUUAUUAUUACCCCCUCCCUCCCUCCGUCUUUCGCGUUAGCCCAGCCAUGUUUCGUCGUGUGCCGACGCGCGUGUUGCCCACUGCGUGCAGUGCGGCCCACAACGUGAGCCUCCGCUUCUGCCUCAGCAUCAAAGUACCCACAAUUGCCGAGUCCAUCAGUACGGGUAAGGUUGUGAACUGGGCGAAGAAGGUCGGCGACGCCGUCGCCGAAGACGAAGUAAUUUGCCAGAUCGAGUCGGACAAGCUCAACGUCGACGUGCGUGCGCCGGCGAACGGCGUCAUUACGAAGAUCAAUUUCGAGGAGGGCGCUGAUGUCGAGGUCGGCGCGGAACUGUCCACGAUGAAGGAGGGCCCCGCGCCAGCGGCAACUGCACCGAAGGCUGCGGAAGUCAAGUUGGACGCACCCAAGGCGGAGCCGCCGAAGGCUGCAGCCCCAGCUGCUGCGGCGCCUGCGGCUCCUGCCGCACCUGUCGUCGCCGCCAAGCCCGCGAUGCACACCAUGGCCGGCGCUGACCCGCGCACGAAGAGCGUCCGCAUCUCCUCGAUGCGCCGCCGCAUCGCUGACCGCCUCAAGGCCAGCCAGAACACGUGCGCCAUGCUGACCACCUUCAAUGAGAUCGACAUGACACCGCUGUUCCAGCUGCGCGACAAGUACAAGGACGAGUUCCACAAGCGCCAUGACGUGAAGCUGGGACUGAUGUCGCCCUUCGUGAAGGCGAGCGCGAUUGCGCUCAAGGAUGUGCCGAUCGUGAACGCAUCCUUUGGCAAGGACACCAUUGACUACCACGAGUUCGUAGAUAUCGCGAUCGCCGUGGCGACGCCGCGCGGCCUCGUCGUGCCCGUAAUCCGUGAUGUGCAGAACAUGAACUUGGCAAACAUCGAGACCGCCAUCGCCGACUACGCCGCGCGUGCGCGCAUCAACAAGCUGACCAUGGCUGAGAUGACUGGAGGCACCUUCACCAUCUCCAACGGCGGCGUCUUCGGAUCUUGGAUGGGCACGCCGAUCAUCAACCCUCCGCAUAGCGCCAUCCUUGGCAUGCACGCCAUCAAGAAAAAACCGUGGGUGGUGGGCAACGAGAUCAAGAUCCGCGACAUCAUGGCGGUCGCUCUGACCUACGACCACCGCCUUAUCGACGGUAGCGACGCGGUGACCUUCCUCGUGAAGGUGAAGAAUCUGAUUGAGGACCCGGCGCGUAUGGUGCUGGACCUCUCGUAGGCGCCGCAGACCUGCCGGGUGCGCGUGCGGAGAGCGAGAGGCGGCGGCAUCGAUGGUGGUAGAGAUAGGCAUGAGGGCGGAGAGAAGGGGAGUGGGUAGGAUAAGCCGCACCACUUUUUCUAGAGGUUUGCCGUUCCUUUUCUCCCUGUUGGCGUUCUGCCCGCUACGCUCGGCAGCCUCCACGCCCUCCGCCUGCCCGCAAGUCCGAAACACGCGCACACACCCUUCUCCUCACCUCUCUUCUAGCACCUAUCCCGUGUAUGUAUAUGUCUGUCUGUAUGUAUGCGACGAUGCUCGAAUGUGUCUCUCUGGGUUCAUUGGUUGUGUGCGUGUGUGUGUGUGUGUGUGUCUACCCUUCCCUCUUGCCUGUCCGCUCGUUAAUGACUCCGCCCCCUUUUUUUUGUGGUGGCUGAAAACAUGUUUCUCUUCUUGUUUCGGUGCCUCCUACCCUCCCUCCCUCCCUCUUUCCUGCCCGCCUGCCCGCUUGUGUGUGUGUGUGUGUCCGUGCCUGCCCCCUUUAGUUCUUCCCUCUCUUUCAGUUUUGUUUCACUUCUGUGGGCUCUUUCUUCAUUGACUUUCUUUCGCCGACUCACUGUGCUGGUUCGUGCGUGUGCCUAUGUCUGUGUGCUAUGGGGGCGAGGAUGGGUGCGCACGUUGCUGUGCAUGAUAACAGGCGUUCUCGCCUUCUCACCGCGUUCCAUCUCGUGAUGGCCGCCACGCAUCUUUUUCCCCAUCUUGCCUGUUCCUCUCUGUAUUCUUGUCGCUGUCGUGCUUGCUCGUGCGCCUGUGGAAUGCGCAGGGGGAGGGCAGGAAGGACGGGGCUCGACAACGUGCGCUUCUCCUCGUCCUAGACACACGUGCUCUGUCUCUCUCUCCAUCGGUUGCUGCUCAUGCGUUUUCCUUUGCGCAUGCAGUGCUGGGCGUUUUUCCUUGUUUCUUUUCACAGAGACGCAGGAUGGAGAGGCAGCGCAACGCAUCCGCGUGCUCGUGUGCUUAAAGUACGCUUCUGCGUCAUGGAGCACGCAAGACAGUGCACGAGGCGGGGAGGGGAUGCAGAUUCAGUCGAGGAAGGCGCGCGUAUGUAUGGGGGAGGGAGGAGGGAGGGUAUGGACUGCUCGCUGAGGAUGGCGCGUUGUGCUUGGCGAACAAAAAGAGCUGAAAGAGAGGAGGGAAUAAGCAAGUAAAACGGGAAAAAACAAGUAGAUGAGAACAGUGCACUUUUUUAUGGAACUAAAGCAACGCACGCACACGCACACAGAGGCACACAGACGCAACGCCGAUCGCGUGCCUCAAGUGCCAUGAGGCAAAAAAAAACAAAAGGAACAACAACAACGAACACACGUACACACACACGCAGCAAGGGAGCAUGCCGUAAAGGUUGCACGGCGGAGAAGGUGGUGUGGUGUGGGGGAGGAGGGAGGGAGGCCAAAGGGGAAAAAGGAAAUGCCUCUAAGAACGAGCGACAGGAAAAGAAAACGUUGCGACUGGCCGCUCUUCUCUUCCUCCCCGCCGCUCGUUGUAUCUCUCUCACACCCUCGAAGACGGCGAAGCCGCCGCAGAGAAGAGGAGACAGAGAGGAGGCAAAUAUGGAAGAGGCGGAGAGCGAGAAGGCCUAUGAGAGGGGUCGUGUCUGUAUGUCUUCAUGCUGUGCUGUUUUUUGUGUAAUGCUGGCGUAUUGUUGUAGUUGCGCGCGUGUGUAUGCAACUGUGUAUGUAGGAGUGCGUAUGUGCCUCUGGUUCUUCACCCCUUAGCCCGCCUUCUUCCCUCUUUUUCGAGGUGUCAAGUCCGCCCUCGCCUUCGUGCGUGCCCGCCUCUUUUCAGUGGCCCCCUUUUUUGGCUUUCAUUCCUGUGUCGCGGGUGGGCGUGCGAGUGCGCGUGUGUGUGUCGCAAGUACGCGUCUCUCUGUGUUCGUUCUAUGCGCCUCUGCAGCUCUCUUUGCCCUCUCUCGACCGCGGCCGUUUCUCCUUGUUAG